AUGAACGCUAGCGGCAGGCCUAACACAUGCAAGUCGAGGGGUAGUUGUCUUCGGGCAAUGAGACCGGCGCACGGGUGCGUAACGCGUAUGCAAUCUACCUUAUACUAAGGGAUAGCCCAGAGAAAUUUGGAUUAAUACCUUAUGGUUAAUUGAAAAGGCAUCUUUUUAAUUAUAAAGAUUUAUUGGUAUAAGAUGAGCAUGCGUCCCAUUAGUUAGUUGGUAAGGUAACGGCUUACCAAGACGAUGAUGGGUAGGGGUCCUGAGAGGGAGAUCCCCCACACUGGUACUGAGACACGGACCAGACUCCUACGGGAGGCAGCAGUGAGGAAUAUUGGUCAAUGGGCGCAAGCCUGAACCAGCCAUGCCGCGUGCAGGAUGACGCAUCUAUGGUGUGUAAACUGCUUUUGUACAGGAAGAAACAUCCCGACGAGUCGGGACUUGACGGUACUGUAAGAAUAAGGAUCGGCUAACUCCGU
This 476-nucleotide ribosomal RNA is filed under the name uncultured bacterium. RNAcentral's name for it is "bacterial SSU rRNA". It matches the Rfam family "Bacterial small subunit ribosomal RNA", at positions 29 to 506 of the family's 1533-position model. The record is from RNAcentral.